GACUAGAGUAUAAUCUUAGACAUCACUGGUGGGACCAGGAUAAGCAGGAAGAGUCAUGAUCCGCUUGUCUAAAACCGGACCUCCCACUGUAAAAUGGUACAGACUCUGAAAGCUUGAGUCUUUGAUCCCAAGAACCUCAUGAACCGGAUCAUCAAAAUAACAUCCUAUUCCAGUUGCUGAGAUCCCCAUUGCAUGUGCUUCCAGGUACAAAACUUGCCCAACAACACCCGUCUCCCAAAACAACCGAGGGUACAUCCAUGACCCCUUCUCCCUCAUCACUGGCUCAAACCGAGCCACCAUCCCUAGGCUGAAGCACCCAUCCCCUGCAAUGUCCUGCAUCAACAACCACCACAACCAUGAUUCAACAAAGAUCCAAGUUAUAUGCAUCCAAUGUUCAAGAAAUCGCUAAGCUAUUGUUAGGCGCUUUUUAAGAAAUUAUUGCUUAGGCGGGCGUCUAGACCGAUUUUUUGAAUUUUUGAACGCGCCUAGACCCGAUUCAAGAAAAAAAAAAUCCUUAAGAAACUAGGUCCGAUUUGGCCUAGACCGAUUCUUAGAACACUUUAUGCAUCCACGACUCGAGAUAUCCAAAGCCUAUUACCUGAUGGCAUGAUAGUCCUUUUGCCAGCCUUUGGCAAUCACCCUGGGCGAGCAUAUACAGAGGAAGCCCAUCAGGGCAACCAUCUGGUCUCCUCCACUCAAACUCAGACCUCGUAGCCCUCUUGAGAUCACCGAGAUGAUCCUCGUUUCUCACUAGAAAAUACAAACCCUUGGGCAAACCCGAAACUCUAUGCACAAACAGAGCAAGAUGAACCUCAGCACAGUCCCAAGAAAGAGCACGAAAGGGCAGUGCAAGCUGCUCUCCUUGCGGCUCUCCCUUGGUGGAAGAACCAGAAGGAAGACAAUGCAUCAACAUCUGGUAAAACGCGGACUUGUCAAUAAAAGUAACACCGUCCAUAUCAACCGCACUUCUUCUCAUCCUCACAACUUGACUCACUGUCAAGUCCUUAUACGAACUCCUGCUAACCACACCACUCGCCUUAAAGGAAGAAGCAUCUAUUGAAGUUGAAGAUGAGUUUGAGAUCAAUGAAGGCUUCUUGACUGCUUCUGCUGUCUUGUAGAUGAUGUCCCAACACAAAUGCUCUUUACUCAGGACAUUAGGAGUCCCUUUCCACUCCAAACUAGUGAACCCUUCUCUAAUAGCAGAGCUUAUACCUUUGUAAUCUAUGUUAAUAAAAUCACUACCUCCCUUGGGGAAAACGAGCAGCAAGCAAUCAGGAUGCUCAGAUUCAAUUUCUGGGAACUCAGGGAGGCCCAUUAGCACGUUGAGAUCAUCACUUCCUAAUCCAUCAAGAAGCUUCAACUCCCACCCCAGCUCUCCAGCUGCAACGGCCAGAGCAGCGAUCGCGUGACCCACGUCGUGGUUACAGUACCUAAACGCGCGUUCUCCGUACUUCCAAGCCUCACGCCAGAAGAUUGAAGAGACACCGAUGAGGAAAGAGUUCUCAGGGAAGAACUUGGGGAAGAAGGUGGAAGGCACGUGAGCUCUGACCUCCAAAGAAUGCUCCUUUGGAGCGUAGUGAGCCACGAAAGGGAGGGAAGAGAGCGAAGGGAUGGGGGGAGAGAUGAGGUAUGCCUCCGUGGGGUGCAAGUUACCGCUGCUGGGGUUGACGCGGAGGGGCCAGGUGGAGGCUCCCGAUGAGUGCGUGCGCGAGAGAGGAGGAACGAUGGAAGAGUUACCAAAGGUUAUAAAAGGGGCGUCUGACUGGGUGAAGACGACGUCGCUUUGAAUGAAGAAAACACACCCCAACGGCUAGUUGCCUUUUCCUUUUUCUUUUACAAUUAUUUUUGUUUCUUUCCCCAGAAAAUAGUUAAUUUUUGUUGACAAAUGGCAUAAACUUCUUUAAAUACAUUGUACUGUAUUGUCUUUGUAAAAAAAAAAUAGAAAAACAUAUCUUUGCAGAUCUUAGAUAUGGUUAACUGAAUUAAUUAUGUAAGUGAUCAAGAUGUAUUAAUAGAUUUGUCCAUAUAUUGAUAAAAUAUAUUAUUUCUGAAAGAUUUACUACUAUUUCUGUGUUCGUUUUCUAAAAUUACAACUUUUUAAAAAAAAUAUCACAACUAGUUCCAAAAAAAUAUAUAUAUAUAUCACAAUUUUUUUUUUUUUUUUUUUGGUUCAAAUAUAAAUAAUAUUCAUUAAUUAUAGGAUUAGUUAUCACAAAUUUUAAGUUUAAUAAAGAGUUAUAAAUGUGUGUUUUUUUGUGUGUUUGUAGUUAACAGGGUUUACAGCCCGGGAACAUCUUUUAACUCAACUGCAAGAAGAAACUUCAACCAGACAAUGAAUUUAUUAACACGUUUACAAGAUCUCACAUCACACUAAGCACAGAAUCUCGUGCUGAAAAAACUUCUCUUAUCAAGUGUGGUGCCCCAACUUUUACAAACCCCAGCGUUACAACUUUGUAGAGAAAAUCAUAUUCUUAUUUCACCACUAAUAUUAUUUACCGAACUAAAGCUGAAUGAUAGAUGACCCUGCUAUGGUUGAUCAUCAAUACACUGGGUGUCCUCUUCAAGAACCAGUUUGGAACAGAACUUCAUGUAAGUUGUAUCUUUUAUUACACUAUAAAUCACCAAGACAAGAUUUGUUUACAGACUCAACAAAGACUAGAGUAUAAUCUUAGACAUCACUGGUGGGACCAGGAUAAGCAGGAAGAGUCAUGAUCCGCUUGUCUAAAACCGGACCUCCCACAGUAAAAUGGUACAGACUCUGAAAGCUUGAGUCUUUGAUCCCAAGAACCUCAUGAACCGGAUCAUCAAAAUAACAUCCUAUUCCAGUUGCUGAGAUCCCCAUUGCAUGUGCUUCCAGGUACAAAACUUGCCCAACAACACCCGUCUCCCAAAACAACCGAGGGUACAUCCAUGACCCCUUCUCCCUCAUCACUGGCUCAAACCGAGCCACCAUCCCUAGGCUGAAGCACCCAUCCCC
Molecule: long non-coding RNA, 2977 nt
Filed under: Brassica napus (rape)
Lineage: Eukaryota; Viridiplantae; Streptophyta; Magnoliopsida; Brassicales; Brassicaceae
Description: long non-coding RNA (BNAP_LNC018321)
Source: RNAcentral